UCCAUGCUCCUCUGCUGUAUGCUCUUUUGCCUCCUGGGAACAGGCUCCAUGGAUGCUGGUGUUACCCAGACCCCAAGGAAUAAGAUCGCAAACACAGGAAAGAGCACUGUACUGGAAUGUUCUCAGACUAAGGGUCAUGAGUCUAUGUACUGGUAUCGACAAGACCCAGGGCUGGGGCUCCGGCUGAUCUCCUCCUCCCAUGAUAUCGAUGAUAUUAACAACGGAGAUGUCUCCGAUGGGUACAGAGUCUCUCGUAAGGAGAAGCCGAAAUUCUCCCUUUUCCUAGAGCCCUCCACCCCCAACCAGACAGCCCUGUACUUCUGUGCCAGCACCAUGCCACUGGACAUGGUGGCCCUGAGAAGGGACAUGCCCUCGGGGGAAGAGGUGCCUCUUUAG
Hippopotamus amphibius kiboko is the source of this 396-nucleotide non-coding RNA. The record is from the annotation of a RefSeq genome assembly. Lineage: Eukaryota; Metazoa; Chordata; Mammalia; Artiodactyla; Hippopotamidae.